Molecule: ribosomal RNA, 300 nt
Filed under: Triticum aestivum (bread wheat)
Lineage: Eukaryota; Viridiplantae; Streptophyta; Magnoliopsida; Poales; Poaceae
Description: partial small subunit ribosomal RNA
Source: RNAcentral
AUGAGCAACAUUUCAUUCAGAAGCAACCAUGCACAUAUUCUUAAUAAAAUGCAGGAACAAAUGAAACAUCAUGCACACAUUCAACCUACAUGUACAAAUGACAUGUCGCCGGCUCCCAUGUGUGCACACUCCACUCCUCUUGUGUAUUGGUCACACCAUGCCAUCCUAAAACGCAAGAGCUUUGCUCGUGUUAUCUCCCAAAACGAUCUUGAUUUUGCAGCCAUGGUAUUUGGAUCAAACAUCAUCCACCGGUUCUCCUCAACCACCUUCUCUUGCAUCAACCGAUUCUCCUUAAGUUGA